AACACAUGCAAGUCGAACGGGCGAUUGAAAGCUUGCUUUGAUGAGCCUAGUGGCAAACGGGUGAGUAACGCGUAGGCAACCUGCCCUCAGGAUGGGGACAACGGCCCGAAAGGACCGCUAAUACCGAAUGAAGUGUCGGAAUCGCAUGAUACUGAUACCAAAGGCGGAGCAAUCCGUCACCUGAGGAUGGGCCUGCGUCUGAUUAGGUAGUUGGUGAGGUAACGGCCCACCAAGCCGACGAUCAGUAGCCGGUCUGAGAGGAUGAACGGCCACAUUGGGACUGAGACACGGCCCAGACUCCUACGGGAGGCAGCAGUGGGGAAUCUUCCGCAAUGGGCGAAAGCCUGACGGAGCAACGCCGCGUGAGUGAAGAAAGGUCUUCGGAUCGUAAAGCUCUGUUGUCGGGGACGAAGGGGCAGAUCAGGAAAUGGGUCUGCUUAGACGGUACCUGACGAGGAAGCCACGGCUAACUACGUGCCAGCCGCAGC
Molecule: ribosomal RNA, 488 nt
Filed under: uncultured bacterium
Lineage: Bacteria
Description: bacterial SSU rRNA
Rfam family: Bacterial small subunit ribosomal RNA
Source: RNAcentral